RNAcentral lists this ribosomal RNA (253 nucleotides) under uncultured bacterium. Its description in RNAcentral is "partial 16S ribosomal RNA". It matches the Rfam family "Bacterial small subunit ribosomal RNA", at positions 524 to 776 of the family's 1533-position model. The record is from RNAcentral.
UACGGAGGGGGCUAGCGUUGUUCGGAAUUACUGGGCGUAAAGCGCACGUAGGCGGCUUUGUAAGUUAGAGGUGAAAGCCCAGGGCUCAACCCUGGAAUUGCCUUUAAGACUGCAUCGCUUGAAUCAUGGAGAGGUGAGUGGAACUGCGAGUGUAGAGGUGAAAUUCGUAGAUAUUCGCAAGAACACCAGUGGCGAAGGCGACUCUUUGGCCUGUAACUGACGCUGAGGCGCGAAAGCGUGGGGAGCAAACAGG